GGAGUAUUUUACACAGAAAAAUUAAUAAUCAAAACUCUUUGACAAAAUGUAACCAUAUAACCUUGAGACGUCAUUAUUAAUUGAGUGGUCAUACCAAAAAUAAAGUUUUAAAAAUGAAUCAGGCAUUUCAUAUGAUUACAGUCACGGGAUCUGUAUUUAAACUGGUGUAGUAAGUUAUAAAACUGGGAGAACUUAUCUUUUCCUUAUAAAUGUUCUAUGUACCUUCUAAAAGCAUUUACUAAACUCACUGAACACUGAAUGCUAGCAAAAAAUAAUGAAUGUCAACAAAUGAUGAGUGGCAAACAGAUGAUUUAGGUUUAGGCGAACACAGGUGAUUUGGAAAAAUUCUCCACUCAGUCUCUGUCUUAAACUUAC
Pelobates cultripes (western spadefoot toad) is the source of this 375-nucleotide non-coding RNA. NCBI's taxonomy places the organism in Eukaryota, Metazoa, Chordata, Amphibia, Anura, Pelobatidae. The record is from the annotation of a GenBank genome assembly.